CCUUACGGGGCGCAGCAGGCGCGAAAACUUUACAAUGCUGGAAACAGCGAUAAGGGGACCUCGAGUGUCAGGUUACAAAUCUGGCUGUCGUGAUGCCUAAAAAGCAUUGCAUGGCAAGGGCCGGGCAAGACCGGUGCCAGCCGCCGCGGUAACACCGGCGGCUCGAGUGGUAACCGUUAUUAUUGGGUCUAAAGGGUCUGUAGCCGGCCGGAUAAGUCUCUUGGGAAAUCUAGCAGCUUAACUGUCAGGCUUUCAGGAGAUACUGUCUGGCUCGAGGCCGGGAGAGGUGAGAGGUACUUCAGGGGUAGGGGUGAAAUCCUGUAAUCC
Molecule: ribosomal RNA, 327 nt
Filed under: uncultured archaeon
Lineage: Archaea
Description: bacterial SSU rRNA
Rfam family: Archaeal small subunit ribosomal RNA
Source: RNAcentral